GCAGAGCGACUGGCACGGAGCACUGGCAUUGUCAGAGAGAGAUGGAGACUGGCUGAGGAAGAGGAGGAGAUGUCACCGAGGAAGAUCUCAACCCCCCUGUUGGUCCUGCCACCUAGACGCGAAGAGUCUCUUCAUCUCGCAGGUCAGACUCCAUCCCUCACUUCCCGUCCCGGUCCGGGACCAAAGGAAAUUGGGAAAAGCCGAGAUUCCCCUCGGAAGGGAAAAUGCGAGAUUCCACCAGCUCCUUUUGGGGUGUCAGAUUUGGGAGACCUUCGGAGGUGUGGAAAUGAUUUAUAAAUGCAACGGGACAAAGGCAAGCGACUUUGCAGUCGAAUCUCCUGCAGGCUGAGGACAGUGGAAGGAUCCAAAGAGCAAAAACAUCCCAGCCAGAGGUGAGUGGAAAAUAUCCCUUCACGCACAUUGGUUGUGAAAGAGAAAUAG
Molecule: long non-coding RNA, 441 nt
Filed under: Chrysemys picta bellii (western painted turtle)
Lineage: Eukaryota; Metazoa; Chordata; Testudines; Emydidae
Description: lncRNA (ENSCPBG00000025895.1)
Source: RNAcentral